GUGACUCCCAUAUUUUAAAGUAUUUAAAACCCUUCCUUAAAAAUCCCCAGGACAGUUUUCAGGUGUCCACCACCCCAGCGUGGGUCAGGUGAAGAAAAUCCUGGGAGAAUUCACCACCAACCACUAGGGAUUUCUGUGUAUGACUCGGUCUUUACUUUUCUCCAGUGUUUGGGGGCGGGGGAACCUCUGCAAAUGUUCACCCUCAAAUGUUGACACUGUAACACUCUAAAAAAAAUCAAUGGAACUAUACCACUCAGCACCUUGGGAGAUCCUGGGGACCCUCUGUGUUUACACAUCCUCAUAAAAACAUGCAAUGUCUACCUUAAAUACUCUAGCAUUUAUGCUACAGACGGACAUAGCUGAGAGAGAGAGAGAGAGAGAGAGAGAGAGAGAGAGAGAGAGAGA
Non-coding RNA from Peromyscus maniculatus bairdii (prairie deer mouse), 405 nucleotides. The record is from RefSeq and is a predicted model, not a curated record. NCBI's taxonomy places the organism in Eukaryota, Metazoa, Chordata, Mammalia, Rodentia, Cricetidae.